Molecule: long non-coding RNA, 1361 nt
Filed under: Lynx pardinus (Iberian lynx)
Lineage: Eukaryota; Metazoa; Chordata; Mammalia; Carnivora; Felidae
Source: RNAcentral
UGAGAAAAAUAACACGUGAAUGCUUUUGACUUAUAUGUUUUAGUCCAGUUAUACCAUAGCUUCUUUACUAUGCAUUUGUUAGCAAAUAUCAGUGAUACAACCUUGGAAAUAUAUCACAGUAACUUUCUAGCACAGAACACUGACUGACUUAGAGUUCUCAUGGCUUAUUUUGCAAAUUGUCAGACUUGAGAACAGAGGAUUAAGGAUGAUUUUUAUAUCAUCCAUAAAAUCUCCAUUCUUUGCCAAAAUUAAUAAUGGAGAACUAAACAUAGUACAAAACAUGUUUGUUUUUGUGAAGUGGGCCUGUCAUACUUAGGGAUAAACCAGACAAACUACCUAGGUACAAGAGGAACACUAAAGGCUUUUUCAUAAUGUCAACCAAUAAGGAUGCCUUGGAAGCUUGAAUCAGGAUGAGAACAGACCUAAGAGGCUCCAUGGGGUUUGGAAAAUAGAAGAAACCUGAGUUUGCCCUAAGUCUAGGUUUUUGGGGAUGACUUUCAAGGCACUAUGUCAAUUCUAGGUACUAAUGAACAGCCACCAUGUGCCAGGAACUGUUCAAGGUUCUGGCAAGUAAAGAAAAAUGCUAUCAAUUACCUCUUACUCAGGACACCCUUGUGGUAAGAGAAAUUAGAAUAGUCACAUGUGGGUGGAGCCUAACAGAAAUUAAAGGCUUUCACAGGCAUUACCUCAUUAAUUGCAAAAUCUGAAACUUACAAUGCAUCUGUGAUAUUGUGAGGAUAUUUGAAAAUAAAAGAAAGGCAUUUACCUGCCAGUUCAAGCUUAGCUCUGGCUUCUUUGUCUUUGGCAAUAAAUCUGUAUUCACCCUGGUCACGAGGUUGAAUAUUACAAAUCUGUAACCUGUGUAUCUUUCCUUCACUCAUCAUCUGAUGUUUGUCACCCUGAACAACAACCAUGUUAUUUCUUAGCCACUGGACUUCCACCUUAUCUUUGUUGAGCUCAGCCAAAAAGACAACAUCAGCACCAGGGGCUUCAAGAAUAUCUUGGGGAGGCCUGAUGAUCUCAACAGGGAUUUCUGAAAAAAAUGCAAAAUGAAUACAAACAUGUUCAUAUUUGGGUUCACAACCUUUAAAAACUGGUGCUAAUAUUAAAAUUGUCCUUUCACUCAGUGUGUACCUUCCACAAAAAGUCUAGCUCGAGAUUUUCUGUCUUCCACUCCACAAGCAUAUUCACAUUCAUCAUCCAGCCUGCAAUCUUUGAUAAUGAGUCGGUGUAUACUUCCAUCUUUUUCAAAUUUGUAUCUAAGAGAAGAGAUUGAAUUAUUGGUUAGCUUGCAUAAUGAUCACUAAAUUGUCAAAUGUGUAAUAGUUACAGAAAUAGAGAUUAAGAAGCUUCCACUUACU